GUGCUCACUUCAGCAGCACAGAUACUAAAAUUGGAAUGAUACAAGGAAGAUUAUUAGCACAGCCUCUCCACAAGGAUGGCAUGCAAAUUCAUAAAGCAUUCCAUAUUUUU
Molecule: small nuclear RNA, 110 nt
Organism: Mesocricetus auratus (golden hamster)
Lineage: Eukaryota; Metazoa; Chordata; Mammalia; Rodentia; Cricetidae
Source: Ensembl